UCUCUCUCUCUCUCUCUCUCUCUCUCUCUCUCUCGAUUGGAAGAAGGAGAGCUGCUAGAAGACCUCCUUAUCAUUCAGAUCCAGAUCCAAAUCAGUUCAAGGUUCAGACUAGAGCCAUGUCUUUGCAAAAAUAUAUUUGCUCAAGGGAGGAUAUCUUAAACUAUGCUACCAAGUUGCUAAAGGCAGAGCUCCCUCUUUUUGUGAGGCUUCUUGCUCAUCUAAUGAAGAAUACGACGACAAGGAAAAUGUUGACCCUCAUCUGCACAAGGUGGUCGAUGUUGGGUUCGAACUUUGCUUACCUAUCAAAAAAAAAAAAAAAAAGUAAUAGAUUAAUCGACUUCCUGAACAAUUCUAUGCUGAGGUUGACCUAUUCAAUUAGUUAAAUACAGGUUCUUGGGUUAUGGGAUUUGCUCAAGUGAAACUGCUGUUGGGUACUGUAGAG
Long non-coding RNA from Magnolia sinica, 442 nucleotides. RefSeq lists it as uncharacterized. The record is from RefSeq and is a predicted model, not a curated record. NCBI's taxonomy places the organism in Eukaryota, Viridiplantae, Streptophyta, Magnoliopsida, Magnoliales, Magnoliaceae. The transcript has 3 exons.